This 363-nucleotide long non-coding RNA is filed under the name Olea europaea (common olive). RNAcentral describes it as "long non-coding RNA (OEUR_LNC007948)". The record is from RNAcentral. Lineage: Eukaryota; Viridiplantae; Streptophyta; Magnoliopsida; Lamiales; Oleaceae.
GGUCAAGUCAACAGCCGGAUGGAGAUAGAUAUAUAGAGUGCAAUAGUAUGGAGAUGGGGGUUUAGCUAGAGAGUGUAGAACAUACCUUAACUUAUGAAUUGAAUCCAUAUAUAUAGAGAAAUGAUGUGAAAUGGGUUAAGGCGGGUUAAUGGGCCUAAGUUCGAGCCCAGUAUGAGGUGAGCAAAGUGAUAGGCACUUCGGCUAGGCUUUUUAUGGCCUCGGUGGCGCCUCGGCUAGGCUUCUUAGAGCCUCGGCUUUGAGGCCCAACACUAAUGGGCCUAGCUCGGGUCCAAUAAGGUGGCCCAAUAUGGAGUGAUAAUUCGUAGGCGUAACAGUAGUCCCCAAAGUCCGAGUCGUGUUAUU